GGCAGAGCCUGGAUGGGAACCUGGGUUGUUCUGAAUCGCGGAUCUGUGCUUAACCGACAGAUGGAGACCCCUGCCCUCCUCCCCAGCUGAGAAUGGUCGGGACCCCACGGCAUGACAUGUCCCGAGUGACUGGGCCCCCGCUGGAUGUGGGGUGAGCUCAUCGGGCUGGAAGCUUCGGGCUGACGUCAUGACUGGGCACAGAAGCCUCUGCUUUCUCUGUAAUUACAGCUGGGCGGGGCCGGCUGAGUUGGAAACCAGUUGUGGGGAGAAUCACUGCGUGCCGCAUGACGCACCAGAGAAACCUGGCCCUGCCUGGGACCUGGGCAGGGGCUGGGGCCAUCCCCAAACCUCCAGAGGACCCCUCUGCCUAAAACGCAGCUCAGUUGGUACCAGGGAACCCAGAAGGAGGGGAAGCCUGGCGAAGGAGCAGGGAACUGAACCGUGA
This 445-nucleotide long non-coding RNA is filed under the name Rhinopithecus bieti (black snub-nosed monkey). Its description in RNAcentral is "lncRNA (ENSRBIG00000045450.1)". The record is from RNAcentral. Lineage: Eukaryota; Metazoa; Chordata; Mammalia; Primates; Cercopithecidae.